AAGGUUCUCUAGAUAAUCUAUCUCCUUUAGGCCUCCUUCAUUUCUUGAGUCCUGCACAAAAAUUCUAGAAAAUAUUGUUAGUAUAAAAAGAGAAAUAAAAAAAAGAAUAAAUACCCAAAUUAAAAUUAAAAAUUAAAGAUAGGAGAAAUAAAAAUAAAAAUAAAAAUAAAGUCAAAGUUAAUCAAGAAUCACCCAAAUAGAAUAGCUUAAACCGUGAGUCCCCGACAAUGAUGCCAAAAACUUGUUGGGAUGGAUCGGCAAGUGUACCGAGUCGCACAG
Molecule: long non-coding RNA, 279 nt
Filed under: Vigna radiata
Lineage: Eukaryota; Viridiplantae; Streptophyta; Magnoliopsida; Fabales; Fabaceae
Description: long non-coding RNA (VRAD_LNC016770)
Source: RNAcentral